UCUUUCUCAUUUUUUCACAUGUAAGUUAGCUUCAUGUCCGCUCAAAUGCUUGCUGCAUCUCAAGCAAUGUGUGGUGAGUUAUACGACUAUCCGAGGAAAAUUGAAUCUACUCACAUCACACUUCUUUCCUCUUUCACCACAGCCGCUAAAUAUUUUUUGUUGACAAAUGUAGAUGUACUUAUUUACUUAUACAGAUGCGGCGACCGGUAUGUCUGCAGACGACAUGGAGAAUUUGGAAAAACAAGCUCGAGCAAUGGCUGAACAAGCGAAAAAGAAUCAAGUGAAGCCGAAACGUGAUGUUCUUUUUGUGAAGUAAUUAAUGGAUCGUGGCUUAUUGCUUUAGCAAGCGAAGCAACUGAUGAGGACAAUUUAGAAGCGUUGGCAAGAAUAGCGAAUCCUGAAGAGAUCUCAAUUGAUGAAGACGAUGAAGACGAAGAUGCAAAGAUUGAAGAAGUUCAACUUGAACAACAAAUAGUGCCUUCAAAGGUUUUUGGAAGCCUUAUAAAAGACGACUAGAUUUCAUUGAUGGAUAAUAAGUUGUACGGUCAUGGAACAUUCUUGCUUUGGUUGCGUCUUUGGAGCUUAACUUCAUCGUUAUUUGAAAAGUUUGUUUUUCGUCAUGUAUCACUUUUUGAAGGAGGAAACUUCACCACAGUCAAGACAUUCAAAUGAGUCAUAAUGCUUUUGUAUGAUUUUGCAUUUACAUAAACCCUCGACAUUAGCUUCCGUAUUUGUGGAUAUCCAAUAACAUAUAAGGUACUUUUGGACCAAUCAAGCUCUCUAUAAAAGAGGCCAAAAGCUGUCUUCAAUCAUCAUUCAUCAUCCUGCUGUUGGAACCAGAAGAAAACAAGAAAAAGGUUAAUCAUGAAGAUAACCUAUCUUGUCAUCGCUCUUGGAUUGCUUUGCACUUUUGCUUACGCUCAAGCGAAACUUGAAGAUGAGGUUAUGAAAGAAUACGAUGAAAAAACCGCCCCAGUGGAAACUGUCAAAGAAGAAUUUGUAGAAAAUGAUGAUGAAAAUCCAGAAGAAGAAAAUGAUGAUGAAAAUCCAGAAGAAGAAAAUGAUGAUGAAAAUCCAAAAGAAGAAAGUGAUGAUGAAACUGACCCCGAACAUGACUUAGAACAAAGUGAUGAUCGUGAACUCACAGAGAACAAUAAUGAUGUGAAAGCUGAUCCAAGUGUAGAAAAACGCUCGCCUUUUUGGCGUCGACGUCGCUAUUAUUAUUAUAGACGUCGUCGCUAUUAUUAUUAUAGACGUCGUCGUUUUUGGCAUCGUCGUCGUCGUAGUUGGGGCUAAUAUGGCAAAAACCCGUAAGGAUCCUGUGGAAUGUGUAGCGAUUAAUAAGAAACAUUCAUUUGAUUCUAGACGUACUUUAAAUUGGCAUUGUUGUAUGAUUUGCCUGUAGAAAAUAGAUGUUUGCAUUGAUCAUUGA
Molecule: RNA transcript, 1432 nt
Organism: Xenia sp. Carnegie-2017
Lineage: Eukaryota; Metazoa; Cnidaria; Anthozoa; Malacalcyonacea; Xeniidae
Gene name: nucleoplasmin-like protein ANO39
Exons: 7
Source: RefSeq, a predicted model, not a curated record